UACGUAGGUGACAAGCGUUGUCCGGAUUUACUGGGCGUAAAGAGCGCGCAGGCGGUCGUUCAAGUCGAGUGUGAAAGCCCCCGGCUCAACUGGGGAGGGUCACUCGAUACUGAUCGACUCGAAGGCAGGAGAGGGUAGUGGAAUUCCCGGUGUAGUGGUGAAAUGCGUAGAUAUCGGGAGGAACACCAGUGGCGAAGGCGACUACCCGGCCUGUUCUUGACGCUGAGGCGCGAAAGCUAGGGGAGCAAACGGG
This 253-nucleotide ribosomal RNA is filed under the name uncultured bacterium. RNAcentral's name for it is "partial 16S ribosomal RNA". It matches the Rfam family "Bacterial small subunit ribosomal RNA", at positions 524 to 776 of the family's 1533-position model. The record is from RNAcentral.